GCAUGUGAACUCCUACUGCUCC
RNAcentral lists this microRNA (22 nucleotides) under Alligator mississippiensis (American alligator). RNAcentral's name for it is "ami-miR-2184-3p". Lineage: Eukaryota; Metazoa; Chordata; Crocodylia; Alligatoridae. The record is from miRBase by way of RNAcentral.